ACAGAGAGGGAUUUCUGAGCCUCCCCAUUGGUUCACAGCGAGCAUGAGGCUCCACCCUCUCUAAGAGAGAGGGGGGAGAGAGAAAGAAAGAGGGAGGGGGGAAGUAGGGAGAGUGAAAGUGGAGAGGCAGGCAGGCAGACGUGUUGCAACAGAUGGCUUUACCAGUAGCGGCUCGGUGGCGGCUGUACCAAGGAACUCUGGGACGCUGUUAGACCCAGAACAGAGGCUACAAACUCACUGUCUUCCUCUGCAGACAGACAGGAAGACAGUGUCAGUGUGAGCACAAGUUUAGUAGCUGAAAGGAGCAACAGUUUUAUGGAGGAGAUGAAUGUGUGAUCUGAGCCUUCAUCCUCUUCCUCCUCUUCCUCCUCAUGCUCCUGCUCCGGGGUCACAGAGGAAAACACCUGCUGACAGCGAGGAGGUCCUGAGGGAGGAGACGCAGCAGGAGCAGUGCGGUAGCAGUAGGACUCCACUACUCUGAGUCUUGAGCUGAGAAACGUGACCUUCAAGUCUCAAGUGUGCGACUCUCUGCAGGUGGACUCGCACGCUUAGCUGACGACAUGACGCUCUAUUCCCGUGCUGGAUCCCAGCAGACACCAGCUUUCUCAGUGAAUAAAAUGUUUCAACAUUUCCAUGAGUCACUUCACAGCAUCACACACUUCUGUGUUGUGUCCUGUUCUCUGUACUGAAGCUGCAGUUCAGCUGAAGAACUGUAAUUAUGGUCUGUAACGGCGCUUAUUGAUGUUUGCUUUAUUGACGGUUCUAUUGACGUCUGAGCUUGUGUGGUCUGACUGACGGCCAUUUGUUGUGUCAGGACAUGACGGAGAUUUAUGGGAAGGGUGUGUGUGCGUGUGUGUGUGUGCGUGUGCGUGUGCGUGCGUGUUCAGGGGCUUUCCCUCUGCUCUGUACUGAACUGUUGAAGGUUUAAGGAUCUGUCUGCAGAUCUUUUAGCUUCUUAGUUUGUGACGAUGAAAAGAAAACUGGAGCUGUGUGUGUGUGUGUGUGUGUGUGUUCUCUCUGACUUUAUUUCCCGUGUUGUCGUUCUGUCUCUUCAGUAUUUGUACGCGUCAUGUGACUCCACAUGAGCUCAGACUUAUUUUUAUGAACAAGAAUGCUUUUCAUAAUUUAAAGUGCUUUUAGGCUCUUUGUCUAAGUAAUGAAUGUGUUUAGUGUCCAUGUUACUAUUUGUGCAGCCUAAAUAAUAAAGCAGUAAGAUAUUAAAAGUUUAGUAUUCAAGUGUUUGUAUCUGGUUAAAUAAAAAAUGUAUUGCCCAUGAAAUAAAUCAUUUAAAAAGCCUAUAUUCACUAAAGCUUUAUUAAUCUACAUAAAUACAA
RNAcentral lists this long non-coding RNA (1334 nucleotides) under Cottoperca gobio. Its description in RNAcentral is "lncRNA (ENSCGOG00000001368.1)". Lineage: Eukaryota; Metazoa; Chordata; Actinopteri; Perciformes; Bovichtidae. The record is from RNAcentral.